This 90-nucleotide transfer RNA is filed under the name Candidatus Omnitrophota bacterium. Its description in RNAcentral is "Candidatus Omnitrophica bacterium (groundwater metagenome) tRNA-Ser". It matches the Rfam family "tRNA". Rfam says of the family: Transfer RNA (tRNA) molecules are approximately 80 nucleotides in length. Their secondary structure includes four short double-helical elements and three loops (D, anti-codon, and T loops). The record is from RNAcentral. Lineage: Bacteria; Pseudomonadati; Candidatus Omnitrophota.
GGAGAGGUGUCUGAGUGGCCGAAAGAGCGCGGCCGGAAACCGCGUAGCUACCCACAAGGUGGCUCCCGGGUUCGAAUCCCGGCCUCUCCG